This 465-nucleotide ribosomal RNA is filed under the name uncultured bacterium. Its description in RNAcentral is "partial 16S ribosomal RNA". It matches the Rfam family "Bacterial small subunit ribosomal RNA", at positions 28 to 507 of the family's 1533-position model. The record is from RNAcentral.
GACGAACGCUGGCGGCGUGCUUAACACAUGCAAGUCGAACGGAAAGGCCCUGCUUGCAGGGUACUCGAGUGGCGAACGGGUGAGUAACACGUGGGUGAUCUGCCCUGCACUUCGGGAUAAGUCUGGGAAACUGGGUCUAAUACCGGACAGGAGCCAUUUUUAGUGUGAUGGUUGGAAAGUUUUUUCGGUGUAGGAUGAGCUCGCGGCCUAUCUGCUUGUUGGUGGGGUAAUGGCCUACCAAGGCGGCGACGGGUAGCCGGCCUGAGGGGGUGGACGGCCACAUUGGGACUGAGGUACGGCCCAGACUCCUACGGGAGGCAGCAGUGGGGAAUAUUGCACAAUGGGCGCAAGCCUGAUGCAGCGACGCCGCGGGGGGGAUGACGGCCUUCGGGUUGUAAACUCCUUUCGCUAGGGACGAAGCUUUUUGUGACGGUACCUAGAUAAGAAGCACCGGCUAACUACGUG